GACAGAGGUGGCGAGCGUUGUUCGGAUUUAUUGGGCGUAAAGCGUACGCAGGCGGUUUGGUAAGUCAGAGGUGAAAGCCCACAGCUUAACUGUGGCACUGCCUUUGAUACUGCCUUUCUAGAGUGCAUGAGGGGGAAGCGGAAUUCCGAGUGUAGAGGUGAAAUUCGUAGAUAUUCGGAGGAACACCGGUGGCGAAGGCGGCUUCCUGGCACGUAACUGACGCUCAUGUACGAAAGCGUGGGGAGCAAACAGG
RNAcentral lists this ribosomal RNA (253 nucleotides) under uncultured bacterium. RNAcentral's name for it is "partial 16S ribosomal RNA". It matches the Rfam family "Bacterial small subunit ribosomal RNA", at positions 524 to 776 of the family's 1533-position model. The record is from RNAcentral.